This 253-nucleotide ribosomal RNA is filed under the name uncultured bacterium. Its description in RNAcentral is "partial 16S ribosomal RNA". It matches the Rfam family "Bacterial small subunit ribosomal RNA", at positions 524 to 776 of the family's 1533-position model. The record is from RNAcentral.
UACGUAGGUUGCAAGCGUUACUCGGAUUCACUAGGCGUAAAGAGCGCGCAGGCGGUCGUUCAAGUCGAGUGUGAAAGCCCCCGGCUCAACUGGGGAGGGUCACUCGAUACUGAUCGACUCGAAGGCAGGAGAGGGUAGUGGAAUUCCCGGUGUAGUGGUGAAAUGCGUAGAUAUCGGGAGGAACACCAGUGGCGAAGGCGACUACCUGGCCUGUUCUUGACGCUGAGGCGCGAAAGCUAGGGGAGCAAACGGG